This 72-nucleotide transfer RNA is filed under the name Camelus bactrianus (Bactrian camel). It matches the Rfam family "tRNA". Rfam says of the family: Transfer RNA (tRNA) molecules are approximately 80 nucleotides in length. Their secondary structure includes four short double-helical elements and three loops (D, anti-codon, and T loops). Lineage: Eukaryota; Metazoa; Chordata; Mammalia; Artiodactyla; Camelidae. RNAcentral also lists the same sequence under 2 other names. The record is from Rfam by way of RNAcentral.
GAGGGUGUAGCUCAGUGGUAGAGUGCAUGCUUAGCGUGCGCAGGGUCCUGGGUUCAAUCCUCAGUACCUCCU